AUGCUUUGGCAGUACAUAUACUAAAAUGGGAAGGAUACGGCAAAAAUUAGCAUGGGCCCUGUGCAAGAAUGACACACAAAUUUGUGAAGCGUUCCAUAUUUAA
This is a small nuclear RNA of Sorex fumeus (smoky shrew), 103 nucleotides long. The record is from RefSeq and is a predicted model, not a curated record. Lineage: Eukaryota; Metazoa; Chordata; Mammalia; Eulipotyphla; Soricidae.